RNAcentral lists this ribosomal RNA (450 nucleotides) under uncultured crenarchaeote. Its description in RNAcentral is "bacterial SSU rRNA". It matches the Rfam family "Archaeal small subunit ribosomal RNA", at positions 407 to 856 of the family's 1478-position model. Lineage: Archaea; Thermoproteati; Thermoproteota. The record is from RNAcentral.
CUUUUCAUAAAUGUAAGUAGUUUAUGGAAUAAGGGGAGGGAAAGUUCUGGUGUCAGCCGCCGCGGUAAUACCAGCUCCCCGAGUGGUUGGGACGAUUAUUGGGCCUAAAGCAUCCGUAGCCUGUUUUGUAGGUCUCAUGUUAAAUCCAUUCGCUCAACGAAUGGUCUGCAUGAGAUACCGCAUUACUAGGAGGCGGGAGACGUGAACGGUAUUCCAUGGGUAGGGGUAAAAUCCUCUGAACCAUGGAAGACCACCAGUGGCGAAGGCGGUUCACGAGAACGCGCUCGACGGUGAGGGAUGAAAGCUGGGGUAGCGAACCGGAUUAGAUACCCGGGUAGUCCCAGCUGUAAACGAUGCAAGCUAGGUGAUGGAUUAACCAUGUGUUAAUCCAGUGCCGCAGGGAAGCCGUUAAGCUUGCCGCCUGGGGAGUACGGUCGCAAGGCUGAAACU